UGUCAGGGGCGGACCCGCGAGCUUUCCUGCGGAGCUCCCGGCACCUCGAGCCUGAUCACUGAACUGCACGCUCCAGGCGAAGGCGCAAAUGAAGGGAGAGGAGCCGACAGCCGGAGACCCUGGGAGGCUCAGCUUUCUACUGAGUUACAUCUUCGGAGGUAGCCAAUGAUGGCCCAGGUACUUGGAUUCCUGCCACACACAUGGGAGAACCAGAUGGAAUUCCUGCUUCCUGGCUUUGGUUUGGCCCAGACCUGGCUGUUGUGGGCAUUUUGUGGAGUGAAUUAAUGGGCAGAAGAUUUUCUCUCUCUCUCUCUCUCUCUCUCUCUCUCUCUCUCUGUCUCUGUCUCUCUCUGUUUUCUUUCCCCUCUCCCUUUUACCUUCUUUCUCUCCUGUUCUCUCCCAACCUGAGUGUGUGUGUGUGUGUGUUUGUGACUCUGACUUUCAAAUAAAUGAAUAUUUGUAAGAAGAAGAGGAGACGCCACGAGUAUUCAGGCAGGGCAAGAGCAGCCUCCUGAGGACGUGGAGAAGGCAAACACCUGCAAGGCAAGGAGAGAGGAAGCCUCAGGAGAAACUUCGCCUUCCAGUACCUUGAUCUUGGCCUUCAGCUGCCAAAACUCUGUGAAAAUACAUUUCUGUUUUUAAGCCACCCAGGCUGGGGUAUUUUGUAAUGAUAGCCCAACCAGACUAAUACAAAACUGCUGAUAAUAGUGGUAUUUGUAAAAUUAGGGACUUGCAGAUCUAAGAGAACAUUAAAGCUCAUCUGGCCCAAUAGUUCUUGGCUCGGUGUUUAAGGACCAUGGAUAAUCGGGCCACUUCCUUGCACACUUCCAAAGAGGUGUCUUCUACAACAAAGUCUGUGUGAAUGUGCCCCUUGCAGCCGUACUGUGCGUAUUCCAGCAGUUGGAUACAGCCAUCCUGAAAAUGGUUUGCUAAACUCUUCUUCAAUUUAGUCUGGGCACAUAUUUUUUCUUCUGAAAAAGUAAGCCCAAAAUUUCUUCAGAUAUUAAAGGAACUUUAUGACACACAAAAACUUCAGAAACAUUUAUGACUUUACAUCUCUCGUCUUACAGAUGAGGAAAAUGAAUCCUAGGAAGGGACGGUGCCCAAGGAUGUAUUGAAAACACAAGUAAAAAGAGGAUCCAAAUUUCCUUCCUCCUAGCGAGAGGUUAAAACAUUUUCAUACCUGGAGUAGGGCAGAAAGAUGCCUUCCACCUUUCCAAAAUGUACCUGUGUGUACAUAACCCUCAAAUUUUAGCACAUUCAUUCAGAUAAUAGAGUUGGUAAUUUUUUAAGCAUACUCACAUAAUAUAUAGUAAAUAAAUGUCAUAUUGCAUGAAUGAGAACUUGAUAAUUUAUAUACAUGUAGUUAACAAGAGAAUUCCAUUAAAGAAUGUUAUUUGGACUGUUA
Molecule: non-coding RNA, 1408 nt
Organism: Oryctolagus cuniculus (rabbit)
Lineage: Eukaryota; Metazoa; Chordata; Mammalia; Lagomorpha; Leporidae
Source: RefSeq, a predicted model, not a curated record